ACAUACUUCUUUAUAUGCCCAUAUGAACCUGGGAAGCUAUGGAAUGUAAAGAAGUAUGUAU
This 61-nucleotide microRNA precursor is filed under the name Columba livia (rock pigeon). RNAcentral's name for it is "Cli-Mir-1-P3_pre stem-loop". It matches the Rfam family "mir-1 microRNA precursor family", at positions 10 to 70 of the family's 79-position model. From Rfam's summary of the family: This family represents the microRNA (miRNA) mir-1 family. miRNAs are transcribed as ~70nt precursors (modelled here) and subsequently processed by the Dicer enzyme to give a ~22nt product. In this case the mature sequence comes from the 3' arm of the precursor. The extents of the hairpin precursors are not generally known and are estimated based on hairpin prediction. The record is from RNAcentral. Lineage: Eukaryota; Metazoa; Chordata; Aves; Columbiformes; Columbidae.